Bombyx mori (domestic silkworm) is the source of this 2595-nucleotide long non-coding RNA. RefSeq lists it as uncharacterized. NCBI's taxonomy places the organism in Eukaryota, Metazoa, Arthropoda, Insecta, Lepidoptera, Bombycidae. The transcript has 2 exons. The record is from RefSeq and is a predicted model, not a curated record.
ACACUUUUUUCCACAGGAAAAAUCACCGAAUCCCCGGUAUAUGGAACCUCACUAAAAACUCCUGCCGCUCACAGCCGGCGUCCAACUCCGGACCGGGCCGCAGCUCAGUUCGGGUUACUGAGAUGGCGGGACAGGGUCGACGCAGAGCAUAUUACAUCCAUUCCGCCGUCCCAGACCCCGGACCGGCGGCCGCCGACACGACCACCGGUUCCCUCGGUCGACGUGCCGGGAGCCCGCCUUAAUGGCGUCGCGCUGCACCUUCGGAGAAACGCGGUCUACCAUCACCCAGCUUCCUAUUACGGGCGAGCACGCAAAGCACGCCCCGCCUGGGUUCCUCCGCGCAUAAAGCGGGUGGAGCCCGAAGCUCUUAAGGGCCGAGUCACGAAUGGAACCUAGGUCCCGAACCUCUGCUCGGCGGCGAUGGAUUUCUGCGUAGUGACCAGAGCUUAAACCAAACCUCUAGCUGUUUCUUCAUAGUCCGUCCGCCGUGCGUAGUAGCACAGAUUUGAAUUUAGUGGUGGCUUCCCCCCGGUGAAGAUCACGGGGCGACCUGAGAGGGCCGAGAUCGCGCGGCGCGCUACCUGCACUCUAGCGCGCCACUAAGAAGAUACGAAAGAGCAAUCGGUUGGCGGUGUAUCGCGUCCAGACCUGGCAGGCUGUUUCUGGUCCAGCGGGGUAUCCCAGAACACCAGCGGCACCGUCUGGGCGGCCUGACGGGCUGCCGUACCAAAACGGCCGACGUUUCCGAGCCUUCGAUUCGCCUCGAAGGCUCCGUCGGCCGGGCGUCCUUGGGGUGAGCUGCGCCGUCUGGUUGUAGUGUUGACCGCGGCAACCUCUUUACCUCAUCCGGGUUCUGACCUCGGUGGGGAUCGGACGCUUGGGCGAAAAGUGCAGGGAAGUCGUUUAGUGGGUAGGGCCCUGAAAACAUCCUUGGGCCCGCGGACUCGCGGUCGCGGACGAGUCCCACAUACACCGUGCGCCACGUAGGCGCGGGGACCUCGUACGAGGAUCGGCCCCCGGCACGAAAAAAUACAAAAAAAGUAUAUUGAAUUAAGCGAAUCCAAACUUUGCUUCAAUUUUGAUAAAAAUGAAAUGCAUUUAAAUUUUACACCUGUUUAAGCAGUUAAUUAAUUAUGCAUUCUUAACGUUAAUUAAUUCUUUAAUUUGUUACUGCUGUGUGUGGUGCUGGAAUCACCAGUAUUGUAGAACAAAAAUGUAAUCAUUAGUGGAUUGCUUCUCUGUGGGAUUGUAACACCUACAUAGCUGUUUUAGCAGAGUCUGAAGAGCUCAUGGCUCACCUGAGCUUACAGGAGGCCUUUUUCUCAAGACUAUAGACACUAUCAAGCUUCAAACUAAACAUAGGCAGGAUGCUUUUACUCAUCUGCAGAGUUGCUUGUAGGUACUUAAUAUUCCUUACUUAUAUAGAUGAGGAUACUAUUACAUUACCAAAAGUAGUACCUAGCAGUAACUAGAGGAGGCUUGAUUUAAUCACAAAUGUGGUGUUAAUCAUAUGCUAACUUGGGAAUUAUUUUAAUUAAACCAAAACAAAUGUUAGUUAUUUUGUACACAAAACUAUGUAUAUUUCUCAAAUGCACCUUUAUUUAUUUAUUUUUUAUCUUAUUAUAGCUUUUAGCCCUAUUUGACUUAAAAUUGUUCUGUAUUUAAGACAGAGAUAUAAUUUUAUGAUGGACAACAAAUUCCUUAUUUUUAAAACUUUUUCUGAACACACAUUUAAAGUGCAAAUAAGCUACUUUUGCCUAUUUACAUUAGGUACCACUUGACCUCCAAUGAAUUACAAUUGUUGUAAAACCUGUCAGUUAUGUUCAUUUCAUAUACCAAUGACUAAUGGACCUUAUAUAAAUAAAUGGUGAAACUCAAUCAAAUCACAUUUGAUAGGUUAGAUUUUUUCCAUUUAACUAUAAAAUCUUAAGUCUGAAAAAAAGUUAUUUUAGCUUAGCUUCACUGUUGCUAUCUAAGUUUUUAACUAUAAAUUUUUUGCACAUGAUAAUUUUUUAUUCCCACUUUUUUUUUAAUAUUAACAUAUUUUGACAUUAUUAUUUUCACAUAUUUUAAAACAAGGUAGGUAUUUUAUGACCAUUGGUGAAUACUGGUUUUUGAGACAAAAAUUAACGUAUGUCUACUUCAAAAUUGAAUUACCUGUUGGGCAUCCUAGUUCCUUAGAACCUCUUCCAAAACCCUUGACUACCUCUCCUUCAAGGAAAAAAGGCAGAACUGAUGACAUUUUCCUCAAUUGAAAAAAUAUUUUCAUGCGAUUCUUUUUUUUACUUAGAAGUAAAUGAAUGAACUAAUUACGAAAAACUGACGCAAUAAACAUUUCAUCACCAGACACAAAAUACAACUAACUGUGUGGCAUUCAUCUAGGUCACAAGUUAAGAAUGAUUUAAGUAAUUUAUAACGAUAAUUUAAAAGUGAUAAAAAUCCAUAGAUUAAUUAUUACAAAUUACAAGCCUUAUCACAGCCAUAAUCUUGAAACUACACACAAAGUAAACAAACGUUUCCUUUAAAAUUUAAACAGGCUUUCAUAGUGUUAACUGUUAAUUUAGAUCAAAAUAUCAUAAUCAAAUAUUAUCAAAA